UACGUAGGGUGCAAGCGUUGUCCGGAUUUAUUGGGCGUAAAGAGCUCGUAGGCGGUUUGUCGCGUCGAAUGUGAAAACCCGGGGCUCAACCCCGGGCCUGCAUUCGAUACGGGCAGACUAGAGUUCGGUAGGGGAGUCUGGAAUUCCUGGUGUAGCGGUGAAAUGCGCAGAUAUCAGGAGGAACACCGGUGGCGAAGGCGGGACUCUGGGCCGAUACUGACGCUGAAGCACGAAAGCGUGGGGAGCAAACAGG
Molecule: ribosomal RNA, 253 nt
Filed under: uncultured bacterium
Lineage: Bacteria
Description: partial 16S ribosomal RNA
Rfam family: Bacterial small subunit ribosomal RNA
Source: RNAcentral